This is a small nuclear RNA of Otolemur garnettii (small-eared galago), 107 nucleotides long. The record is from Ensembl. NCBI's taxonomy places the organism in Eukaryota, Metazoa, Chordata, Mammalia, Primates, Galagidae.
GUGCUUGCUUUGGCAGCACAUAUACUAAAAUUGGAACGAUACAGAGAAGAUUAACAUGGCCCCUACACGAGAAUGACACGGAAAUUCAUGAAGCAUUCCAUAUUAUU